UCAGACGAUGCGUCAUGCAUAUCAAUAAGCGGAGGAAAAGAAACUAACAAGGAUUCCCCUAGUAACGGCGAGUGAAGCGGGAAGAGCUCAAAUUUGAAAUCUUAAAGGGUUUCCCUUUACGAAUUGUAGUUUAAAGAAGUGUUUUCUGUUGAGGUUUUGGUAAAAGUUCUUUGGAAUAGGACAUCAUAGAGGGUGAGAAUCCCGUAUUUGACCUUUACUUUCAACUUUGUGAUACACUUUCAAAGAGUCGGAUUGUUUGGGAAUGCAGUCCAAAAUGGGUGGUAAGUUUCAUCUAAAGCUAAAUAUUGGCGAGAGACCGAUAGCGAACAAGUACCGUGAGGGAAAGAUGAAAAGAACUUUGAAAAGAGAGUUAAACAGUACGUGAAAUUGUCAAAAGGGAAGCGUUUGACACCAGUGUUGUUUUUCUGAAAAUCAAUUAAAGAACUGUUUAUGCUAUGUUGUUUAGACUUUAUCAGCUAACUGUUUAGUUUUGAGCUUUUCUUUAAUGCACUUUUCAGUUAACAAGUCAACAUCAAUUUCUUUUGCUGUAAAAAAGCUUGAGGAAGGUGGCUUGAGAUUCGUCUUAAGUGUUUAUAGCCUCUUGCCUAUGCAGUCGGAGAGAUUGAGGUCUGCAGCGUAGAUCCUUCGGGGCUAAAUGCAUUUGUGCUAAGUUAUAGCAUUUUAUAGACAACUUGUUGACUAUGAUUUGUCUUGUAGCUUACUCGCUUAUGUUAUUUUACCUACGCUUAGGAUGUUGAGCGCAUGUCUCUCUCU
This 774-nucleotide ribosomal RNA is filed under the name uncultured Neocallimastigales. RNAcentral describes it as "partial large subunit ribosomal RNA". It matches the Rfam family "Eukaryotic large subunit ribosomal RNA", at positions 18 to 616 of the family's 3401-position model. The record is from RNAcentral. Lineage: Eukaryota; Fungi; Neocallimastigomycota; Neocallimastigomycetes; Neocallimastigales.